RNAcentral lists this ribosomal RNA (628 nucleotides) under Atraporiella yunnanensis. Its description in RNAcentral is "eukaryotic LSU rRNA". The stretch from base 217 to 370 matches the Rfam family "5.8S ribosomal RNA". Lineage: Eukaryota; Fungi; Basidiomycota; Agaricomycetes; Polyporales; Steccherinaceae. The record is from RNAcentral.
GACUGCGGAGGUCAUUAUUGAAUGAAAUCGAGUGGGGUUGUCGCUGGCCUCAGCAAUGGGGCAUGUGCACACCUUGCUCAUUCCACCUUCUACACCUCUGUGCACUUCUCAUGGGUUGGGCUGCGUCUGAAAUAACGACAACGCACUUCCUGUGUGUUUUAAACCAUACACAUGUUUGUUAUAGAAUGUUUUAUGUGCAUGAAUUGCAUACAAUACAACUUUCAGCAACGGAUCUCUUGGCUCUCGCAUCGAUGAAGAACGCAGCGAAAUGCGAUAAGUAAUGUGAAUUGCAGAAUUCAGUGAAUCAUCGAAUCUUUGAACGCACCUUGCGCUCCUUGGUAUUCCGAGGAGCAUGCCUGUUUGAGUGUCAUGGUAUUCUCAACCCCCUUGCAUUUUUUGCAGAGGGAUUGGAUGUGGAGGUUUGCUGGCAGAGGAACAUUUGUUUCGAUACCGGCUUCUCUGAAAUGUAUUAGCUUGAAUGUUAUCGAGCAUGUCCCAGUGUGAUAAUUGUCUACGCUGCUUCAUGUCGGUAUUAAAAAUGGUUCAAGCUUCGAACUGUCUGUUCGCAGACACUUUCUGAUCAUCUGACCUCAAAUCAGGUAGGACUACCCGCUGAACUUAAGCAUAC